UACGAACUGUGCGAACGUUAUUCGGAAUCACUGGGCUUACAGGGUGCGUAGGCGGCCUAGCAAGUCAGGUGUGAAAGCCCCCGGCUCAACCGGGGAACUGCGCUUGAAACUGCUGAGCUCGAGUCAGCUAGAGGUACACGGAACUUCCAGUGGAGCGGUGAAAUGUGUUGAUAUUGGAAGGAACACCGGAGGCGAAAGCGGUGUACUGGGGCUGGUCUGACGCUGAGGCACGAAAGCCAGGGGAGCUAACGGG
Molecule: ribosomal RNA, 253 nt
Filed under: uncultured bacterium
Lineage: Bacteria
Description: partial 16S ribosomal RNA
Rfam family: Bacterial small subunit ribosomal RNA
Source: RNAcentral